AUACGUAGGGUGCAAGCGUUAAUCGGAAUUACUGGGCGUAAAGCGUGCGCAGGCGGCUUUGUAAGACAGUGGUGAAAUCCCCGGGCUCAAACUGGGAACUGCCAUUGUUACCGCAAGGCUGGAGUGCGGCAGAGGGGGAUGGAACUCCGCGGGUAGCAGUGAAAUGCGUAGAUAUGCGGAGGAACACCGAUGGCGAAGGCAAUCCCCUGGGCCUGCACUGACGCUCAUGCACGAAAGCGUGGGGAGCAAACAGGAUUAGAUACCCUGGUAGUCCACGCCCUAAACGAUGUCAACUGGUUGUUGGGGAUUUAUUUUCUCAGUAACGAAGCUAACGCGUGAAGUUGACCGCCUGGGGAGUACGGCCGCAAGGUUAAAACUCAAAUGAAUUGACGGGG
RNAcentral lists this ribosomal RNA (395 nucleotides) under uncultured bacterium. RNAcentral describes it as "partial 16S ribosomal RNA". It matches the Rfam family "Bacterial small subunit ribosomal RNA", at positions 523 to 918 of the family's 1533-position model. The record is from RNAcentral.